Molecule: ribosomal RNA, 474 nt
Filed under: uncultured bacterium
Lineage: Bacteria
Description: bacterial SSU rRNA
Rfam family: Bacterial small subunit ribosomal RNA
Source: RNAcentral
GAACGCUGGCGGCGUGCCUAACACAUGGCAAGGUCGAGCGGGGUUGAGGCGAGAGGUAACUCGAGCUUCUACCUAGCGGCGGACGGGUGAGUAACGCGUGGGCAACCUGCCUCAAGGUUUGGGAUAACAGCCCGAAAGGGCUGCUAAUACCGGAUAUGCCUAUGGCCUCGCAUGGGGCUAUGAGCAAAGGGGAAACCCGCCUUGAGAUGGGCCCGCGUCCCAUCAGCUAGUUGGUGAGGUAACAGCUCACCAAGGCGACGACGGGUAGCCGGCCUGAGAGGGUGACCGGCCACACUGGGACUGAGACACGGCCCAGACUCCUACGGGGGGCAGCAGUGGGGGAUCUUGCACAAUGGGCGAAAGCCUGAUGCAGCGACGCCGCGUGAGCGAAGAAGGCCUUCGGGUUGUAAAGCUCUGUCUGGAGGGACGAACAAAAUGACGGUACCUCCGGAGGAAGCCACGGCUAACUACGUG